Molecule: transfer RNA, 78 nt
Filed under: Hadesarchaea archaeon
Lineage: Archaea; Methanobacteriati; Hadarchaeota (SeqCode); Hadarchaeia (SeqCode)
Also listed under: 1 other name
Description: tRNA-Pro
Rfam family: tRNA
About the family: Transfer RNA (tRNA) molecules are approximately 80 nucleotides in length.
Source: RNAcentral
GGGGUCGUGGGGUAGCCUGGUCUAUCCUGCUGGCUUUGGGAGCCAGUGACUCGAGUUCAAAUCUCGGCGACCCCACCA